RNAcentral lists this ribosomal RNA (486 nucleotides) under uncultured bacterium. Its description in RNAcentral is "partial 16S ribosomal RNA". It matches the Rfam family "Bacterial small subunit ribosomal RNA", at positions 30 to 507 of the family's 1533-position model. The record is from RNAcentral.
AUUGAACGCUGGCGGCAUGCCUUACACAUGCAAGUCGAACGGCAGCACGGGUGCUUGCACCUGGUGGCGAGUGGCGAACGGGUGAGUAAUACAUCGGAACACGUCCUGUAGUGGGGGAUAGCCCGGCGAAAGCCGGAUUAAUACCGCAUACGAUCCACGGAUGAAAGCGGGGGACCUUCGGGCCUCGCGCUAUAGGGUUGGCCGAUGGCUGAUUAGCUAGUUGGUGGGGUAAAGGCCUACCAAGGCGACGAUCAGUAGCUGGUCUGAGAGGACGACCAGCCACACUGGGACUGAGACACGGCCCAGACUCCUACGGGAGGCAGCAGUGGGGAAUUUUGGACAAUGGGCGAAAGCCUGAUCCAGCAAUGCCGCGUGUGUGAAGAAGGCCUUCGGGUUGUAAAGCACUUUUGUCCGGAAAGAAAUCCUUGACUCUAAUACAGUCGGGGGAUGACGGUACCGGAAGAAUAAGCACCGGCUAACUACGUG